CCUACGGGAGGCAGCAGUAGGGAAUAUUGCUCAAUGGGGGAAACCCUGAAGCAGCAACGCCGCGUGGAGGAUGAAGGUUUUCGGAUUGUAAACUCCUUUUGUUAGAGAAGAUAAUGACGGUAUCUAACGAAUAAGCACCGGCUAACUCCGUGCCAGCAGCCGCGGUAAUACGGCGGGUGCAAGCGUUAUUCGGAAUCACUGGGCGUAAAGAGCGCGUAGGCGGGAUAGCAAGUCAGAUGUGAAAUCCUAUGGCUUAACAAUAGAACUGCAUUUGAAACUGUUAUUCUAGAGUAUGGGAGAGGUAGGUGGAAUUCUUGGUGUAGCGGUAAAAUGCGUAGAGAUCAAGAGGAAUACUCAUUGCGAAGGCGACCUGCUAGAACAUAACUGACGCUGAUGCGCGAAAGCGUGGGGAGCAAACAGGAUUAGAUACCCCGGUAGUC
This 440-nucleotide ribosomal RNA is filed under the name uncultured bacterium. RNAcentral describes it as "partial 16S ribosomal RNA". It matches the Rfam family "Bacterial small subunit ribosomal RNA", at positions 338 to 795 of the family's 1533-position model. The record is from RNAcentral.